Molecule: long non-coding RNA, 1398 nt
Organism: Copidosoma floridanum
Lineage: Eukaryota; Metazoa; Arthropoda; Insecta; Hymenoptera; Encyrtidae
Source: RefSeq, a predicted model, not a curated record
GAAGCUGUAAAUGUGACCUGGUCACCUCUAGUCCAGCAGCUCACCAACUUUCCAAUUUUGGAUUUCAGUUUUAGUACUCUAAUGCCAGUUUGUAUUUGUAUUCUCUCAAUCUGGAGCAGCCAGGUUAUGAUAUAUAACUAAAGACCAGUGUGCCAAGUGAUCAAUGGUUAAGGAGUUGCAUGAAGCUGUAAAUGUGACCUGGUCACCUCUAGUCCAGCAGCUCACCAACUUUCCAAUUUUGGAUUUCAGUUUUAGUACUCUAAUGCCAGUUUGUAUUUGUAUUCUCUCAAUCUGGAGCAGCCAGGUUAUGAUAUAUAACUAAAGACCAGUGUGCCAAGUGAUCAAUGGUUAAGGAGUUGCAUGAAGCUGUAAAUGUGACCUGGUCACCUCUAGUCCAGCAGCUCACCAACUUUCCAAUUUUGGAUUUCAGUUUUAGUACUCUAAUGCCAGUUUGUAUUUGUAUUCUCUCAAUCUGGAGCAGCCAGGUUAUGAUAUAUAACUAAAGACCAGUGUGCCAAGUGAUCAAUGGUUAAGGAGUUGCAUGAAGCUGUAAAUGUGACCUGGUCACCUCUAGUCCAGCAGCUCACCAACUUUCCAAUUUUGGAUUUCAGUUUUAGUACUCUAAUGCCAGUUUGUAUUUGUAUUCUCUCAAUCUGGAGCAGCCAGGUUAUGAUAUAUAACUAAAGACCAGUGUGCCAAGUGAUCAAUGGUUAAGGAGUUGCAUGAAGCUGUAAAUGUGACCUGGUCACCUCUAGUCCAGCAGCUCACCAACUUUCCAAUUUUGGAUUUCAGUUUUAGUACUCUAAUGCCAGUUUGUAUUUGUAUUCUCUCAAUCUGGAGCAGCCAGGUUAUGAUAUAUAACUAAAGACCAGUGUGCCAAGUGAUCAAUGGUUAAGGAGUUGCAUGAAGCUGUAAAUGUGACCUGGUCACCUCUAGUCCAGCAGCUCACCAACUUUCCAAUUUUGCUUGGAUGCAGGAACAGCUGCUCAGCAGUUGGAUGUCAGUUUUAGUCCUGUAAUGUCAGUUUGGAUUUGUAUUCUCUCAAUCAAUACCAGUGUGCCAAGUUAUCAAAGAUUGUCAUACGAUUAUUGUGGGAGCUGGUGGAACGAAUCCAGAUGGCAUUAUUGUGAGUUGCUGUAAUUAUGGAAAAAUGAAGAUUUACUCUGCUGACAAGAUGUUUGAGAACGACAGCAACUAUUUGAUUAGCGGUUCCGACAAACACGAAGGUCCUGUGAGAGCUCUGGACUUUCAUCCAUUUCAGUCUCACAGCGUUUUGUCAUUUAGGAUCUGAAAAUGAAUGAUAUGUCACACAGCUUCAGAAGAGGAUCAAACUUCAAUUAUUGCACAGUGGGAUUCGAGAUUUGCAAUCUCUCCGUGAAAAACAUUUCAAUGCCGUCG